UACGUAGGGUGCGAGCGUUAAUCGGAAUUACUGGGCGUAAAGCGUGCGCAGGCGGCUUUGUAAGUCAGAUGUGAAAUCCCCGGGCUUAACCUGGGAAUGGCAUUUGGGACUGCAAGGCUUGAGUGCGGCAGAGGAGACUGGAAUUCCUGGUGUAGCAGUGAAAUGCGUAGAUAUCAGGAGGAAUACCGAUGGCGAAGGCAGGUCUCUGGGCUGACACUGACGCUCAUGCACGAAAGCGUGGGGAGCGAACAGG
RNAcentral lists this ribosomal RNA (253 nucleotides) under uncultured bacterium. RNAcentral describes it as "partial 16S ribosomal RNA". It matches the Rfam family "Bacterial small subunit ribosomal RNA", at positions 524 to 776 of the family's 1533-position model. The record is from RNAcentral.